UCGUUUGUACAACUUUAUGCGGUGGAUCACUCGGCUCGUGUGUCGAUGAAGAGCGCAGCCAACUGUGUGAAUUAAUGUGAAUCGCAGACUGCUUUGAACAUCGACCUCUUGAACGCACAUUGCGGCCAUAGGCUUGCCUAUGGCCACGUCUGGCCGAGGGUCGGCUUAUAAAC
Molecule: ribosomal RNA, 173 nt
Filed under: Schyzocotyle acheilognathi
Lineage: Eukaryota; Metazoa; Platyhelminthes; Cestoda; Bothriocephalidea; Bothriocephalidae
Description: 5.8S ribosomal RNA
Rfam family: 5.8S ribosomal RNA (bases 11-163)
About the family: 5.8S ribosomal RNA (5.8S rRNA) is a component of the large subunit of the eukaryotic ribosome. It is transcribed by RNA polymerase I as part of the 45S precursor that also contains 18S and 28S rRNA.
Source: RNAcentral